Bombyx mori (domestic silkworm) is the source of this 927-nucleotide long non-coding RNA. RefSeq lists it as uncharacterized. NCBI's taxonomy places the organism in Eukaryota, Metazoa, Arthropoda, Insecta, Lepidoptera, Bombycidae. The transcript has 2 exons. The record is from RefSeq and is a predicted model, not a curated record.
UAGAAAAGGUAGGAAAAAAAAUUAAAAGUGUGCUUACUGACAUAUCCGGCUUUAAGACCGGCAUGAUAUCCGGUAUCCAGCCAAAUAAUUUUUCAGUGUUUCGUAUCUCUAUUUUUAAUCAUAAAUUUAAGUUGUCUCUAUAAAAAAAAAAAGGAAUCUAACAGAGACAGUAAGUAGUGCAAGGUUAUUACAUUUUUAUUAAAUUUAAGGCAUGUAGGUUUUAAAAAUAAACAAAAUUAAAAAAUCUAAAUAUACUUGAACUGCGUAACAUGUUGCGGCAAAUACAUUGCACGGGUCUACGUUAAUUAGUCUUGAAGUUCGAUUUUGGCCACCAAUAACUGCUUUAGGAACGCCCCGUGUUGACAUGUUAAUGUACAAAAAAGGAUGCUGCCAAUAUGGCGGGCUAGUCCUUAAUCACGUGAGCUCAAUAUUUAGUAUCAGCUUUGUUGCUCUAGCGGUGUGAUUGUCGAGUUCUAUUUAGUUCAAAAAGAAAAAAAAAAUCAGUUAGUGUUUUCGUGGUCGGACUAUUAAGUGUUCGUCAGAAGAUCUAAUAGAAUCGUAAGCGUAUGUUAGACGUAUCGAGCCUUAGGCUACCAGCGAAUACGCAAAAAAAAAGAAUUAAAAUAUGAUUUAACAUCAUAUUUGUCCGGCAGACGAAGCAUACGACCCACUUUCCAGCGAUACCAGAGUCACACCCAAGCCGCUGCCUAUUGCUGAGGAUUGCCGGUGGUUUGAAGAAGGACAUAAUAUCAUAGCGCUUGUGAAACACCGAGGAGCCAAGUUCAUUUCAGAGCCGUGGCAGAGUAGGUACAUGGCAAAAAAACUUGGGAAAGAUCCCAUUGAUAAACGCAGCGGUUCCAGAUAGAAUGGACGAUCUCUGGUCCGAUGGCGGCCGGUGUGAUAAUAAAAAGGAGAUGGAAGUAUAAA